Molecule: ribosomal RNA, 496 nt
Filed under: uncultured bacterium
Lineage: Bacteria
Description: partial 16S ribosomal RNA
Rfam family: Bacterial small subunit ribosomal RNA
Source: RNAcentral
AUGAACGCUGGCGGCGUGCCUAAUACAUGCAAGUCGAGCGAACAGGCGAGGAGCUUGCUCCUCUGACGUUAGCGGCGGACGGGUGAGUAACACGUGGAUAACCUACCUAUAAGACUGGGAUAACUUCGGGAAACCGGAGCUAAUACCGGAUAAUAUAUUGAACCGCAUGGUUCAAUAGUGAAAGACGGUUUUGCUGCCACUUAUAGAUGGAUCCGCGCCGCAUUAGCUAGUUGGUAGGGUAACGGCUUACCAAGGCGACGAUGCGUAGCCGACCUGAGAGGGUGAUCGGCCACACUGGAACUGAGACACGGUCCAGACUCCUACGGGAGGCAGCAGUAGGGAAUCUUCCGCAAAGGGCGAAAGCCUGACGGAGCAACGCCGCGUGAGUGAUGAAGGUCUUCGGAUCGUAAAACUCUGUUAUUAGGGAAGAACAAAUGUGUAAGUAACUAUGCACGUCUUGACGGUACCUAAUCAGAAAGCCACGGCUAACUACGUG